GCACUUACCUGGUGGGGAAGAUGCCAAGAUUACCAAGGUGGUCUUCCCAGGGUGAGGCUUACCCACUGAGCUCCGAAUGUGAUGAUCCUUUGACUUUCCCAAAUGUGGGGAACUUGACUGCAUAAUCUGUGGUAGUGGGGACUGCAUUCAUGCUCCCUG
Molecule: small nuclear RNA, 159 nt
Organism: Acomys russatus (golden spiny mouse)
Lineage: Eukaryota; Metazoa; Chordata; Mammalia; Rodentia; Muridae
Product: U1 spliceosomal RNA
Exons: 1
Source: RefSeq, a predicted model, not a curated record